GUCUCUAAGGAUGUCACAGUGGGUUUAUACAACACCAGAUGCAGCCAAAUCUGUGGCCGGAUAACAAAGUCACCCCUCCUGGAGCAGCACUGGGUGUGAAGUUUGCUCACCAGCAGUGUCCAGUGCUUUCCCGAAAACAUGUGUGUGUGUGUGCGCGUGUGCGUGCGUCCACCACCAACUGCUGUCUGUGUAUGAGCUUGUGCCUUUUCCCCAGAUCUUUCACUCGCAUGCACAGUGGUGACAUGUAUGAGAAGACCCCACCUUGUAUGUUGCAUGACUUGAAUGCCUCAUCUGACAUGUCCCCAGGAGGGGCUGGCGGCAGGCCUUGGGGAAGCAGGGUCACCACUGUUUAUGUGUUAGCUGCAUCCUUCUCUCCCCAUCUGUUCUUUGCUAUGUCGCCCUUGGUUUGCCU
Molecule: long non-coding RNA, 412 nt
Filed under: Rattus norvegicus (Norway rat)
Lineage: Eukaryota; Metazoa; Chordata; Mammalia; Rodentia; Muridae
Description: long non-coding RNA NONRATT003734
Source: RNAcentral